Non-coding RNA from Brachypodium distachyon (stiff brome), 89 nucleotides. The record is from Rfam. NCBI's taxonomy places the organism in Eukaryota, Viridiplantae, Streptophyta, Magnoliopsida, Poales, Poaceae.
AUUUGGUGGGAGUGAUGAUUCAAUUAGAUGCGCUAAGUUACCUUAUGAGCUAAACAUUUUGAGGCAUAAUUUUAUCUGACCUACCAAGA